CGAUAGCGUAUAUUAAAGUUGUUGCAGUUAAAAAGCUCGUAGUUGGAUUUCUGGUGGGAGCGAUCGGUCUGGCGCUUAGCGCGAGUACUUGCAUCGUCUCCGGCCAUCCUUGGGGAGAGUCUGUCUGGCAUUAGGUUGUCGGGCAGAGGAUCCUCAUCGUUUACUGUGAAAAAAUUAGAGUGUUCAAAGCAGGCUUAUGCCGUUGAAUAUAUUAGCAUGGAAUAAUAAGAUAGGACUUUGGUACUAUUUUGUUGGUUUGCGCACCAAAGUAAUGAUUAAUAGGGACAGUUGGGGGUAUUCGUAUUCCGUUGUCAGAGGUGAAAUUCUUGGAUUUACGGAAGACGAACUACUGCGAAAGCAUUUACCAAGGAUGUUUUCAUUAA
RNAcentral lists this ribosomal RNA (383 nucleotides) under uncultured eukaryote. RNAcentral describes it as "partial 18S ribosomal RNA". It matches the Rfam family "Eukaryotic small subunit ribosomal RNA", at positions 592 to 976 of the family's 1831-position model. The record is from RNAcentral.